GAUGAACGCUGGCGGCGUGCCUAAUACAUGCAAGUCGAGCGAACGGACGAGAAGCUUGCUUCUCUGAUGUUAGCGGCGGACGGGUGAGUAACACGUGGAUAACCUACCUAUAAGACUGGGAUAACCUCGGGAAACCGGAGCUAAUACCGGAUGAUAUUUUGAACCGCAUGGUUCAAAAGUGAAAGACGGUCUUGCUGUCACUUAUAGAUGGAUCCGCGCUGCAUUAGCUAGUUGGUAAGGUAACGGCUUACCAAGGCAACGAUGCAUAGCCGACCUGAGAGGGGGACCGGGCACACUGGGACUGAGGCACGGUCCAGCCUCCUACGGGAGGGAGCAGUAGGGAAUCCUCCGCAAUGGACGAAAGCCUGACGCAGCACCGCCGCGUGGUUGAUGAAGGUCUUCGGCUCGUAAAACUCUGUUAUUAGGGAAGAACAUAUGUGUAAGUACCUGUGCACAUCUUGACGGUACCUAAUCAGAAAGCCACGGCUAACUACGUG
RNAcentral lists this ribosomal RNA (497 nucleotides) under uncultured bacterium. Its description in RNAcentral is "partial 16S ribosomal RNA". It matches the Rfam family "Bacterial small subunit ribosomal RNA", at positions 28 to 507 of the family's 1533-position model. The record is from RNAcentral.